GAAAUUAACUGAACAUUUACGAAGUCUCACAUUAUAUGCUGUGAUCACAUUCACAGUUUUCUAUAUCUGAAGGAAAUUAUCAAAUGGACUCAAGUCAAGCAAGAAAGUUGGCCUCCAGUGAUGUGCCCAAAAGAGAUUUGUGCUGUUUAACAUUUAAAUUAGUGACUUGGAUAAAGAUAGAAAUGACACAGAGAUGAAAAAAAAAGCUAUCAUAUUAGAUAUUAGUCAAGAUUAAGAAGAAAAGAUUAGAACAUUGGGUCAAAUAGAAGAUGACAUCUAAUGGAAAUAAAUGAAGUCUUAACUCUUGGAUUAAAAUUUUCAAUUAUAAAAGUAUAAGUUGUAAGACACAUGGCUAGAAAGCAGUUCAUCUGAAAAAGAUAUAGGGGUUCUGGUGGAAAACAAGCUCAAUAUGACUGCAAGCUCGUUAUACAAUAUGACAAUCAAGAAGCUUAAAUUACAUUGAGUCAGGGCAUCCAAGACCAGGAGAUAACAGUACACUGUACUUUGCCUUGGAUCAUUAUUAUUUUCAGUUCUGAAUGCCAUGUUUUAUGAAGAACAAUAAUAUGAUGGAGAGCUGUCAUUCAGAGAAGGGCAACCAACAUGAUUGAAAACUGCAAGUGUUCUGAAUCCAAUUCUUCCUGUGCAACAAGAGAACUUCGGUUAUGCACACACAUAUUGUAUCUAGGAUAUACUGUAACAUAUUUAACAUGUAUAGGACUGCUUGCCAUCUGGGGGGGGGGGGUAAAGGGAGGGAGGGAUAAAGUCGGAACAGAAGUGAGUGCAAGGGAUAAUGUAAAGAAAAUUUUUUCAAAAUUAAAAAAAAAAACAGCAAGUGUGCGAAUCAUUUGAAGGAAUGGGGGAUAACUUGGAGAAGAAAAGAGUUAAGGAGGAUGAUAUCAUUAUGACCUGUCUUGAAAUAUUGGAAAGAUUGUCAUAUGGAAGAGGGAAUAAAAAGACUUGCUUGGUUUAGUCCCAACAGGCUCAACAAGGAAUGAUGAAUAGAAUGGGCACAGAAGCAAAUUGAAGCCUGAGAGCAGAAAGUACAAUUCCCAAUAAUUAAAACUAUCCCAAAGCAAAAUAGGUUGCUUCAGGAGGCAGAGGAUUUUUCCCUCAGUGGAUUUUUUUGGGGGGAGGGGCAAAAGAUGUAUGACUUACUGUUAUAAAAGGGAAGUGAUAGAAAGAAUUCUUGUUCAGAUGGACUCUGAAGUUCUUCCUAAAGCUGAGAAUCUAUGAUUAAGUGAAACAAUUUGUUACUUGAAUAAGAAAAAAAAAAAUAAGGUGGUGUUGUACUUAGCAGAUCUCUGAGGUUCUUUCC
Molecule: long non-coding RNA, 1315 nt
Filed under: Sarcophilus harrisii (Tasmanian devil)
Lineage: Eukaryota; Metazoa; Chordata; Mammalia; Dasyuromorphia; Dasyuridae
Description: lncRNA (ENSSHAG00000025663.1)
Source: RNAcentral